This 3011-nucleotide unclassified non-coding RNA is filed under the name Hevea brasiliensis (rubber tree). Lineage: Eukaryota; Viridiplantae; Streptophyta; Magnoliopsida; Malpighiales; Euphorbiaceae. The record is from RNAcentral.
CAUUUAUCACGAUUUUGCUGCCAUGAUUUCUUAAAAUUUCUCCCAUUUUGUGCAGUGUGAAAAUUUCCUUAAUUAUCAAAGUUGGAUCUCCAUGAUCAAUCUUGUAUGUCAUAAAUGGAAUAUUUCUGCACAGCACAUAGCAGCUAGGAGCUUUAUCCAUUGGAUGUAUCAAAUUAAUAUACAAUUUUGCAAGAAAUUCUUCAAUGCCAACACUGAAGUCUACCAGGAACGCAACCCUAGCUACAUGUGGCGUAGUGCGAUGGCUGCCCUCCCUGUUCCGAUCAAUUGUUGUCAAUGGCGUUUGGGUUCCGGGGCUGUGAUAUCAUUGUGGCGAUAUCCCUGGCUCCCUGACUUGCAGCAUCCACUGGUUUCAUCCAGUGCGCCAAAUGGCUAAGAAGAUCUCCUCGUCUGCGAUUUGAUGUUAAACUCAGGAAUGCAGUGGAAUUGGGACUUCAUCAGGUCUUUGUUUGAUCAGAGGGACGUUGCGUUAAUUGAGAAAUCCCGCUAAGCUCUCAGAGAAGAGUCGAUUCCUGCAGUUGGGCCCUUGAGACCAAUGGAGUGUACCCAGUUACGAGCGCUUAUCAUGGCAUGUCUUGACAAAUUGACGAUGCCCCCGCUGUGAUUCUUUUUGGAAGCAAUUGUGGAGUUUGAAUAUCCCUCCAAAGGUACAGAAUCUGGUUUGGAGAUUGUGUUCAGGCUACGUGCCUACCUGAGUUAAGGUUGCUUAGCAGAGAUUUUGAUGUGGACAGCGUGUGGCCAGGAUGUUCCAACGCAGAAGAGAGUUUUGAGCAUGCUUUUAUUCGGUGUCGUUUGGCUUGGGACUGUUGGUCCAAUUCUGUGCCUAUUGUUUUUGGGUUUUCCCCGCCUAAUCUCCAUAUAUGGAUUCGUGAAGUCUUUCAGGACCGCCAGAUGGUGUGCAUGAUCUUUUGGGUUUUAUGAAAAAAUAGAAAUGAGGUGCUCUGAAAAGGCAGUCACAAUAACGCUUCAGCUCCUUUUUUUUUUUCAGCUUCCUCCAAUUUGCAUCAAUGGUUAGCAGCUCGGGUAAGUGGGAAUCCUUCUCCCUCGGAAUUCAGUUGCGAGAGCUGGGGACGUUUCUAUGAAAUGGCACAAACCUGCUUCAGGUUUUCUGGAAUGCAAUACAGAUGCAGCUCUUCGAUUGCAGAAUAGAAUUGGAGCGGAUUGGAUCCUGCAAGACGAUAGGGGCUGUUGAUUAAAGCUUGUCAGACUGAGCUUCAAGGUCCUCCUGAUCCUAAAAUAAUUGAAGCUGUGUCUUUCUGUGAAGCCCUCAGUUGGAUUAAAAACCAAGUCCCGCCGAGUGUGCAAUUUGAAUCUGAUUCCCUGCUUUGUCCAAGCUUUUCUUCUUCUUCUUCUUAAUUUUUUUUUUUCAAAGAAAAUGCACUUAAACAGUCAGAAAUGGCAUCAGAGUACAAUAAAGAGGCCAAAUGGUCAGGAAUAACAACUAGCCAAUUACAAGAUAAGACUCUUGAAAGAAACAAUUUUGCAAGGUGGUCUGCUGCUCUAUUUGUAGUUCUUUUUACAAGAAACUUGAGAAAAAUGGGAUAAAAGGCCUUUAAUGGAUAACAAAGUAGCACUAAUUUCCCACAACUUUAAAUCCUCCAAAUUAGAACCAACAUCAAACAAAAUAGCAGAAUAAAUCUCUAAAAUGAUGGCUCUGGCAUUAAUAGCCAAAUCUAGCUUUAUAGCAAGAAGCAAAGCACAAGCUUCACCUGUAAGAGGAGAGGAGGCUUGAAUGAAGCUAACCAUACCAUCUAGCAAACGCCAUUGAGAGUUUCUCACUAUGAUAGUUACAACUGCUCUAGAAUUUGCAUCCCUCCGCGCUACAUCACUGUUAAACUUGAUAAAGCCUUGAGGAGGAGUGGGGGUGGGGGGACCAAUUCACAUUUACCACCCUGCGAGCGAGGGAAGAUGACAUGGGGGUAGAAUUCUGAAGAAGCUGAGACCGUUCAUUUGACAAUUUUUGCGAUACGGAUAGCAAUUGCAAUAGGAUUAGGGACAAAGCUCUCAUAGACAACCUAAUUUCUUUGCUUCCAAAUAAUCCAACAAGAUAUAGCAAUAUCCGUUUGAAAUUAUUGAACCAAGGAUGCCCACCAAUUAGAGAAAGAUGUGAAACCAAUUGGAUUCGGUUUAUAGGAGCUAGGACUUGCAAUCCAUGUUGCCCUUGUGUGAUUGCACCAAAAGAGAGUGUGCCCUAUAGAUUCCUCAUCUGCAUCGCAAAUAGGACACAAAGGGCAGAGAGGAAUACCUCUUUCAGCAAGAUUGCUUCGAACAGGAGGGCAUUUAGAAGAGCUUUCCACAUGAAUCCUUUCAUCUUUGUUAGAUGGACAAUCUCCACGUUUUCCACCACACACUUCCUGAAAUAACUAUCGAAUUGCUAGAUCUGUUUGAUAAGAUUUGCUGCUUAUUUCUAGAAAGCAACCCAUACCCAGACUUGAUAGAAUAUGGCCCAAAAUCAUCGAAGUGCCAAACGAUAGAAUCAUUGUUUCCCAAAAGGGAAAUCGGAAUAGUUAUAGUGACUUGGGCGGCUUCUAUAUAAAAGGGAGUGCUAAUGAGCUUAUAUUUCCAUUGAAGUGAAUCAUGGUCAAUGAGAUCCACAACCAAAUUCACAUUAGGCGAGCAAUGAGGAGGUCUAUUGACCAUGAAACUUGUGAUACGAGGAAUCCAUGGAUCAAAUCAAAUGAGAGUUUGCCUACCAUCCCUGAUGUUGUGUCUAAAUCCCUCUUUCAACACAUUCCUACCAACCAAGGGCUCUGCCGAAUCUAAGAACUCCGCUUAGAAGAAGCUAGUCAAAAGGAAGAGUGAGGAAAAUAAAAGCCCUUUAGUAUACGCCCAGCAUUGCUUUGCUAGACAAGUAAGAUUAAAUGACUCAAAAACAGUUAUGGAAAUACCACCUAAAGCUUUUGGGGUAGAAGCACCCUUUCAACUAAUCCAAUGCAUCUUUCUUUUCUUUAUCCUUUCUCUCCCACAAAAGAUUAGAGAGAGUGCUAUUUAGC